GUGAAUCAUCAAAUCUUUGAACGCAAAUUGCGCUUCCUGGCAUUCCGGGAAGUAUGCCUGUUUGAGGGUCAGUAUUAAUAAAAAACCGGUUUAGUUACAAAUUGUGACGUUUCCGGAGUUUGGGCUUACUUAACAUGUUUGGUUUAGAGGCUUAAAAUUGACCUUUUUUGCGCAUUUUGAAACGUACAUAAAUUUUUUUUAUUCGUCUUUUCUUAUU
RNAcentral lists this unclassified non-coding RNA (217 nucleotides) under Glomeraceae sp. RNAcentral's name for it is "partial contains 5.8S ribosomal RNA and internal transcribed spacer 2". The stretch from base 1 to 71 matches the Rfam family "5.8S ribosomal RNA", at positions 84 to 154 of the family's 154-position model. Lineage: Eukaryota; Fungi; Glomeromycota; Glomeromycetes; Glomerales; Glomeraceae. The record is from RNAcentral.